GUCAGUUCUCUGUUGGCCCUGUCUUGUCUCUGUUGUUUUUUUCCCCUUUCUCCUCCCACUACUGCUGCCAGCUGAUUGAGCGCACCUGGUUUUCAUUCCACAAUCACCUUCUCCCACUACACGCACCUACCGCCCAUCUACAAUCAAGAUCAGUACUUCAACCCAGGCUCAACAGACCAUCUUCGCUUGAUCGUUACUCAAGUCACCCUGUUACCAUCCCACACCUGUCUGUCGUCUCCAGUCAGCAGGCAUCUCCAUUCGGUCCCCCUCCCACGGCACUCUGCUUCAAUCUGCCUCCGUCUUCACUCCUGACCAUCCACUCCUCGGCUCCCCAGCCCCAGUGCCUCCCCCUCGGCUUCUCGGCCCCGGUCUCCCCGUACCCCCCCUGAGUGCUCUCGCUCUUCAAGUGCCUUUGCCAUCCUACUCCUCGCUCCUGAGCCCUCGCCAUCCUACCUGCCUCUUCCCCUGUCCCUGGCGUCCACCUCCCCACUCCCUUUUACCUUCUUUUCCAAAUAAACCUUUGACUUUGAGCCUA
Molecule: long non-coding RNA, 535 nt
Organism: Perca fluviatilis (European perch)
Lineage: Eukaryota; Metazoa; Chordata; Actinopteri; Perciformes; Percidae
Exons: 2
Source: RefSeq, a predicted model, not a curated record